RNAcentral lists this ribosomal RNA (483 nucleotides) under Triticum aestivum (bread wheat). RNAcentral describes it as "partial small subunit ribosomal RNA". Lineage: Eukaryota; Viridiplantae; Streptophyta; Magnoliopsida; Poales; Poaceae. The record is from RNAcentral.
AUGCGCUCCAGGGGGCUGACGACCGCCAAGGUGGUUGCUGAUUUUGUCAGGCGCCGUUUGCCUCCUCUGAAGAAGCGGAACCGGGCCGCCUGGACAUAUACGGAUGUGAAUGUCAUCGGUCGGACCCACUUCGGCCCAAAUAGCGUCCUUAGCGACGUGGCCAUGCUGAAGGUGGUGAAGAAGAUCCUGGUGGAUGAUUGCAGCUCCUUGGCCCCUCCAGAGGGAGUGGCGCCCCUGGCUGAGGAUCGCAUUCGGUUGGAGAUUCUCCACUACCUCCCUCUCUGCGACUCCAAAGGUGUCUGCCAAGGUUCAUCAGGGACGAUUCAGAUUGGGCAGCCGACUAGGACGACCGGGGAGGACUUCCUGAAUCGUAGUCCCGACAAAUGCUGCAACUACCGCCCAAUUUUUCCACCAGCUCCUUUUGGGGUUUCAUUUCUCGCCGCCAGUGCUUUUGAGAACAACCUUCAUGAAUUUCUGACCUAG